AUAUACUCACACAAAUAUACCUUCCUAGUUUCUCAAUGAUGAAAAAAUAACUAACACUUUCCUUGUCGAUCUCUCUGGGAAAUAUAAAAAACACUCGAUCUCUUCUGAUAACAAAUAAGUGAUCAAUAAAGAAGAAAGAGGCACUGAUGAUGAGUCUGCCGAACUACUACUACUACUUGUUUGUUAAUGUUAUUAUGAUUGGAUCAUCAUUAAUGACAAUAAUGUCCACACUAGCUUCAUCCAUUGCAAAACAAGAUUAUUGCCAAGACAAGUGUGGAGAUGUAGAUAUUCCAUACCCUUUCGGAAUUGGAUCAUCCGAAUGUUUUCUUGACAAACAAUUCGAAAUCUCCUGCGACAACAACUCUUCCACGCCUAUUCUCAAACACACUCAGCUACAGGUACUUAAUAUUUCAUUAAAACCUGAUUAUAGCUAUCGUGGUCCUCGUUCUCGUUAUUAUUAUAGCUAUGAUUACGAUCCCCAAUGGAUUGUGGUGAGAAACCCCAUUAGUUUCUUCGAUUGCGGAAACAAGACAAGGCAAGGAUCAGCAAAUUUAACAGGAACCCCGUUUUACUAUUCGAGUGACAAUGAAUUCAUUGCAGUAAGUGGUGGUGUCCUUGCCACGUUCAAAACAAGGUCAGGCAACAUGCACUUCGAGAAUGGAUGCUCAUCCAAUAGUACAACAACUACAUCAAGUAGUCAUAAUAUUAUUGAUUUUAGUAAUUGCGAUGGCGUUGAAUGUUGUACCACUUCCGUCGUCAGCCCUUCGAAUGUUGUGGGCGACAUGUUCGAAAUCUCCAUGGAUAAUGAUUCUUCUGGUACUCCUGCAAAUCAUAGCCAAUGCAAAUAUGCAUUCUUGAUAGAUUAUAAGGAAAUUCAUAUACAUAAAACAUUUGGUGAUCUGGAUUAUGUUCCCGUCCGGCUAAGUUGGUCCCUUAACCGUACGUAUUUCGAUGUAUUUAAAACACAUGUUAUACCAAACGAAACUAGCAAUUUCUAUUGUCGAACUUCGACGGACAAUAAUAAUAACUACCGCCGUUUAGAAUCCUCUUUGGAUCGGAUAAUUGGUUGUUCGUGUAAUUAUGGACUUCGAGGGAAUCCCUAUCUGGUCGGUGGGUGUAGUCAAGAUAUUAAUGAAUGCAUUGAGUACAAAUCGCCAUGCCCUGAAGGCUCUACUUGCGUCAACACUUUCGGGGACUAUCACUGCAGUUAUAAACGCAAGGCUAUCUUUAUAGGUGUGGGGAGUCCUCUUGGAUUAUUAGUUCUACUAUUUGGUACAUGGAGACUAUACAGAUUCAUAAAGAAAAGAAAAGAAAUUAAACGCAAGAAAGCAUUUUUCAAACGAAAUGGCGGCCUUUUGUUGGAACAACAGAUACACUCAAGUGAAAACAAUGUCGAGCAAACGAAACUGUUCGAGUCAAAAGAGUUAGAGAAGGCAACUGAUAAUUUCAAUAUAGAUAGAGUUCUUGGGCAAGGAGGCCAAGGCACUGUGUACAAAGGAAUGUUGGAAGAUGGAAAGAUUGUUGCUGUAAAGAAGUCUAAAAUAAUUGAUGAAGCCAAACUCUCUGAAUUCAUCAAUGAAGUUGUCAUUCUUACACAAAUCAAUCAUAGAAAUGUUGUCAGGCUAUUGGGAUGUUGUCUGGAGACAGAUGUUCCACUUCUAGUUUAUGAAUUCGUCCCAAACGGAACACUUUUUGAGUAUAUUCAUGACAAAAAUGUAGAGUUUCCUUUCACAUGGAAUAUGAGAUUACGAAUUGCCACUGAAGUUGCAGGAGCUCUUUCAUACUUACACUCAGCAGCUUCUUUUCCAAUUUAUCAUCGAGAUAUCAAGUCUACAAACAUACUUCUUGAUGAAAAAUUGAGAGCUAAAGUUGCAGACUUUGGUACAUCAAGAACUAUCUCCUUAGAGCAAACUCACCUGACCACUUUAGUUUAUGGCACAUUUGGCUAUCUUGAUCCAGAAUACUUUCAGUCUAGCCAAUUCACAGAUAAGAGUGAUGUUUAUAGUUUUGGAGUAGUUCUUGUCGAGCUCUUGACUGGACAAAAAGCAAUAUCUGCAACAAGGUCAGAUGAGGAAGGAAGAAGUUUGGCAACAUAUUUCAUAAUGACAAUGGAGGAAAAUAGCAGUAUUCUGUUCGACAUUCUCGAUGCUCAAGUUGUCAAAGAUGCGCCAAAAGAAGAGAUCUUAAUUGUUGCUAAUCUUGCACAAAAAUGCUUACACUUGAGCGGAAGGAAUCGACCUACCAUGAAAGAAGUAGCAAAGGAGCUAGAGAGGAGGAUUCAAGGCAUUGAUAAUAAAGAUGCAAAGGGUAGUCAACAUGAUUAUGAAGAGCUAGCAUAUGCACAACCUGAAGUUAUAGACUACUCUUGGAAUGCUUCCACGUCAUCAACUUUUGAUAGUAAUGCAUCUAGUUCUUCUUUGCAUCAAGAAUUACCAUUAUUAUAAGCUCUCAGCUCACAUUAUUCUCACGCACCCCACUGGUACAGUCUCUCUCUCAUUCUCAUUUCUCAUAUAUAUAUAUAUAUAUAUAUUAUGCUGCUGUAGAUAAAACUAUGCAGUGGAAUAGAUUCUUGUUUUCAUAUUGUUGUUUCAACAUGAUGAAUUGUGAUCCCUCUUCCUCUGUUAAGCAACUGAAGUUGUCAAGUUUGUGUAAUAUUGAUAUUCCUCAAUAGAAAACUAAAAUGGAACGAAAUUACCGAUCAAUAUUUUCUGGCUGAGUCGCGGACAAAAUCGCUCUCUUUAAGACGUUUCGCGGCUCUGCCCUAAGUGUGCACGGCAGUCUAUCAACCACACCAUCCCCAGGAUAAAACAGCCUCUGUACGAUUCCUCCCUGCACUGAGAAGAUCGUUCUUGUACACCCUUAUAAAAAUGCUCUGAGAAAAUUCGUAGAACCAAGAAAGAACAAAAAAACUCUCUGUUUUUUUUUCAAAAUUGUUCUAUCUAACUUAUACACAGAAGAAAAUCCCCAAAACGUCUAAAAACGUUUUUCUAUUAAAUCAGAGGAGGAUUAAACGGCUAAAACGUUUAUCUUCAUUUAAUUAAAAUAAAAACCGUUUUUGUUUUAUUAAAAUGAACGUUUUUUAAAAUUAAUAAAAUGAUAAACGUUUAGAUACCUUUGUUGAAAAAAAAUUAAAACUUAAAAAUACGACACCACACCACACCACUCACUGGCUCAGUCGGCGGCGGCGCGCGUGUGUGUGUCCUCACCCAUUCGCACAAACCUGGGUACUCCCUGGGGGACACCCCAAGUCAUAGCAUUUGCAACUUAUAUACACUCUAUGAAGAGUGUUCCAAUUCCAUGUUUAUCAUCCAAAAUAAUAUUUUGGAGAGUCUCUUCUUUAUCCUUGGUUCAACAAUGGAUUUUGUUUGGGGGUGAUAUUGUAGUCAUUUUGCAGACAUAUAUUGCCUUUGGAAGUUGGUUUUGAUGAGUUGGAUAUUGUAUGGAGUUAUCAACAUUUGAAUUCAUGAGACUUUGUUAUGAACAUUUUAUGGACUUUAUUAUAUAUGUACGAGACUUUGAAUUAUAUUUUAGACUUGUAGACUUUUAUAAGUGUGAGAUUUUAGAUAAUUUAGACUUGUAAUCUUUAUGUUCAAUUAUGUAUAUUGUAGACUUUAUUAUGCCGGUACAAGAUUUCUAUUUAUAAUGAGAAAUACAUUUUCAUUGUAGAAA
Humulus lupulus (European hop) is the source of this 3669-nucleotide RNA transcript. It is a transcript of the gene named wall-associated receptor kinase-like 1, with no coding region annotated. The record is from RefSeq and is a predicted model, not a curated record. The transcript is spliced from 6 exons. NCBI's taxonomy places the organism in Eukaryota, Viridiplantae, Streptophyta, Magnoliopsida, Rosales, Cannabaceae.